RNAcentral lists this ribosomal RNA (732 nucleotides) under Triticum aestivum (bread wheat). RNAcentral's name for it is "partial small subunit ribosomal RNA". Lineage: Eukaryota; Viridiplantae; Streptophyta; Magnoliopsida; Poales; Poaceae. The record is from RNAcentral.
AUGCAUCUAUAUGACUCUUCAGCCGGUCCUUUUAGAGUCUUGGAACAUGACUCUUCAGCGUGGGAUUGGGUGGAUGGAUUGAGGCAGAAAUAUCUACCUCGUCAGACCCUCUCUCUCCCUCAUCUCUUCUUCAUCCCGCUCCUCUUCUCUAGGCCGCCGCCGCGGCUUUCCUCCUCCCUCUCGGCUGCCUCAUCUCCUCUGCCUCCACCUCCACUGCCUCCUUACCCAACUAGCACGGGCAAGACGACGUGCAGGCAAAGGGAGAUGGCGGCGGCGCUCAAUUCGGUCAGCAGUACAGAGAAGAUGAGAGGGAGAGAGAGAGGAAAGGGGAGAGGGGGGUGCGCCUGUCCCUCACCCCAUGUCCCCGGCGCACCGUCGCCCCUCCAAGCCUUGGUGGUCCAGGGAGGAGUAGAUGGCACCAACUUCGAUUCCGGCCUCCGCCCUGAGCUCCGCCGCCUCACGAACUCGAGGCGACGGGCGCCGCCCCCACGAGCUCACUCCGCCUCUCGAGGACCUCCUCUCCUUCGCGGCCCCGAGCGAUGUCUUGAACUCUUCUGUCCCUACACAUGGUCAGCAUCAGCAGAGGGCCAAACGAUGCAACUGCAGGCGCAAACAAUUUUGCUGGUGGUCAAAGCCCUAUUCUAUUGUUGUGAUACUGGUGAGCUUGCACGGUGCAGCAGCCUGGAGAGGCGGCUAACGGCGCACCUGCGAAGCAACAAUAAACACGUCUGA